AGGGCACCACCAGGAGUGGAGCCUGCGGCUUAAUUUGACUCAACACGGGGAAACUCACCCGGCCCGGACACUGGAAGGAUUGACAGAUUGAGAGCUCUUUCUUGAUUCAGUGGGUGGUGGUGCAUGGCCGUUCUUAGUUGGUGGAGUGAUUUGUCUGGUUAAUUCCGAUAACGAACGAGACUCUAGCCUACUAAAUAGACCAGCGCGUGCUUCGGGCCGCGUUGGCGCUUCUUAGAGGGACGGGCGGCGUUGCAGCCGCAUGAGAAAGAGCAAUAACAGGUCUGUGAUGCCCUUAGAUGUCCGGGGCCGCACGCGCGCUACACUGAAGAGAUCAGCGCGCCUGUGCUUCCUACUCCGACAGGAGCGGGAAACCGAGUGAACCUUUUUCGUGAUUGGGAUUGGGGAUUGUAAUUAUUCUCCAUGAACGAGGAAUUCCCAGUAAGCACAAGUCAUCAGCUUGUGUUGAUUACGUCCCUGCCCUUUGUACACACCGCCCGUCGCUACUACCGAUUGGAUGUU
This 519-nucleotide ribosomal RNA is filed under the name uncultured eukaryote. Its description in RNAcentral is "SSU rRNA". It matches the Rfam family "Eukaryotic small subunit ribosomal RNA", at positions 1161 to 1697 of the family's 1831-position model. The record is from RNAcentral.